GGUAGGAUGGCUGAGUUUUAAGCGGUGGUUUGUAGCUCCAUGUACGGGGGUUUAAGUCCCCCUCCUGUCA
Non-coding RNA from Salarias fasciatus (jewelled blenny), 70 nucleotides. The record is from the annotation of a RefSeq genome assembly. Lineage: Eukaryota; Metazoa; Chordata; Actinopteri; Blenniiformes; Blenniidae.